Molecule: ribosomal RNA, 175 nt
Filed under: uncultured bacterium
Lineage: Bacteria
Description: partial 16S ribosomal RNA
Rfam family: Bacterial small subunit ribosomal RNA
Source: RNAcentral
CCACGAAGCUGGAUUCGCUAGUAAUCGCGCAUCAGCCACGGCGCGGUGAAUACGUUCCCGGGCCUUGUACACACCGCCCGUCAAGCCAUGGGAGCCGGGGGUACCUGAAGUGCGUAACCGCGAGGAGCGCCCUAGGGUAAAACUGGUGACUGGGGCUAAGUCGUAACAAGGUAGC